This 477-nucleotide ribosomal RNA is filed under the name Rhodococcus sp. Iw_D. RNAcentral's name for it is "bacterial SSU rRNA". It matches the Rfam family "Bacterial small subunit ribosomal RNA", at positions 8 to 501 of the family's 1533-position model. The record is from RNAcentral. Lineage: Bacteria; Bacillati; Actinomycetota; Actinomycetes; Mycobacteriales; Nocardiaceae.
AGAGUUUGAUCCUGGCUCAGGACGAACGCUGGCGUCGUGCUUAACACAUGCAAGUCGAGCGGUAAGGCCUUUCGGGGUACGACGAGCGGCGAACGGGUGAGUAACACGUGGGUGAUCUGCCCUGCACUCUGGGAUAAGCUUGGGAAACUGGGUCUAAUACCGGAUAUGACCACAGGCUGCAUGUGUUGUGGUGGAAAGAUUUAUCGGUGCAGGAUGGGCCCGCGGCCUAUCAGCUUGUUGGUGGGGUAAUGGCCUACCAAGGCGACGACGGGUAGCCGACCUGAGAGGGUGACCGGCCACACUGGGACUGAGACACGGCCCAGACUCCUACGGGAGGCAGCAGUGGGGAAUAUUGCACAAUGCGCGGAAGCCUGAUGCAGCGACGCCGCGUGAGGGAUGAAGGGCUUCGGGUUGUAACCUCUUUCAGCAGGGACGAAGCGUGAGUGACUGGCCCUGCAGAAUGAAGCCCGGGUUACU